RNAcentral lists this small nuclear RNA (156 nucleotides) under Microcebus murinus (gray mouse lemur). RNAcentral's name for it is "U2 spliceosomal RNA (ENSMICG00000022984.3)". It matches the Rfam family "U2 spliceosomal RNA". Rfam says of the family: U2 is a small nuclear RNA (snRNA) component of the spliceosome (involved in pre-mRNA splicing). Complementary binding between U2 snRNA (in an area lying towards the 5' end but 3' to hairpin I) and the branchpoint sequence (BPS) of the intron results the bulging out of an unpaired adenosine, on the BPS, which initiates a nucleophilic attack at the intronic 5' splice site, thus starting the first of two transesterification reactions that mediate splicing. The record is from RNAcentral. Lineage: Eukaryota; Metazoa; Chordata; Mammalia; Primates; Cheirogaleidae.
AUCGCUUCUCUGCUUUUUGGCUAAGAUCAAAUGUAGUAUCUGUUCUUCUAAGUUUAAAAGCACAGAGUGUUCCUGGAGCAGUAGACAUGUGGCCAAGGGAAUGAAGGGCAGGGGACCAGGCGCCAAGUCAGUGAUGACAUUUUGGUUAGACUGUGA